RNAcentral lists this long non-coding RNA (404 nucleotides) under Solanum tuberosum (potato). RNAcentral describes it as "long non-coding RNA (STUB_LNC000648)". Lineage: Eukaryota; Viridiplantae; Streptophyta; Magnoliopsida; Solanales; Solanaceae. The record is from RNAcentral.
GGUUGUGGUUCCAUUUUGAACCGCCCUAAGUAUACCCCUAAAGUUGAGUCAGAUUUUCAGUUAUUAACCCUUGAACUUUUCCACUUUGUAUAAUAACUAUAAUGCAAUAGGACAUAUAGUUAUGCUAAAUGUAUGGUUCCAGGUAAAAUUGAACCAAGGGUUUUGGAUUCGAAAAUAACACAUACAAUUAUAUUGCUAUCAAGUAUAUACAAACAACAAACAAAAAAUUAAAAAGAGAAAAAGCAGAAAAGUUCACUGUUGCAAUCUUCCAUUAAGUCCGUCGUUUCUGAGCUCUCUUCUUUGGUCUUCUCAUUUUCUUGGGAAAAAUGCCUUCAAAAAGUUCCACAAACCAUAUAGAAAAUAUACUAAAUUGAGUGUUUUCAGUUGAAAAUAUUAUAGCAAUU